GGUUAAGCGACUAAGCGUACACGGUGGAUGCCCUGGCAGUCAGAGGCGAUGAAGGACGUGCUAAUCUGCGAUAAGCGUCGGUAAGGUGAUAUGAACCGUUAUAACCGGCGAUUUCCGAAUGGGGAAACCCAGUGUGUUUCGACACACUAUCAUUAACUGAAUCCAUAGGUUAAUGAGGCGAACCGGGGGAACUGAAACAUCUAAGUACCCCGAGGAAAAGAAAUCAACCGAGAUUCCCCCAGUAGCGGCGAGCGAACGGGGAGCAGCCCAGAGCCUGAAUCAGUGUGUGUGUUAGUGGAAGCGUCUGGAAAGGCGCGCGAUACAGGGUGACAGCCCCGUACACAAAAAUGCACAUGCUGUGAGCUCGAUGAGUAGGGCGGGACACGUGGUAUCCUGUCUGAAUAUGGGGGGACCAUCCUCCAAGGCUAAAUACUCCUGACUGACCGAUAGUGAACCAGUACCGUGAGGGAAAGGCGAAAAGAACCCCGGCGAGGGGAGUGAAAAAGAACCUGAAACCGUGUACGUACAAGCAGUGGGAGCACGCUUAGGCGUGUGACUGCGUACCUUUUGUAUAAUGGGUCAGCGACUUAUAUUCUGUAGCAAGGUUAACCGAAUAGGGGAGCCGAAGGGAAACCGAGUCUUAACUGGGCGUUAAGUUGCAGGGUAUAGACCCGAAACCCGGUGAUCUAGCCAUGGGCAGGUUGAAGGUUGGGUAACACUAACUGGAGGACCGAACCGACUAAUGUUGAAAAAUUAGCGGAUGACUUGUGGCUGGGGGUGAAAGGCCAAUCAAACCGGGAGAUAGCUGGUUCUCCCCGAAAGCUAUUUAGGUAGCGCCUCGUGAAUUCAUCUCCGGGGGUAGAGCACUGUUUCGGCAAGGGGGUCAUCCCGACUUACCAACCCGAUGCAAACUGCGAAUACCGGAGAAUGUUAUCACGGGAGACACACGGCGGGUGCUAACGUCCGUCGUGAAGAGGGAAACAACCCAGACCGCCAGCUAAGGUCCCAAAGUCAUGGUUAAGUGGGAAACGAUGUGGGAAGGCCCAGACAGCCAGGAUGUUGGCUUAGAAGCAGCCAUCAUUUAAAGAAAGCGUAAUAGCUCACUGGUCGAGUCGGCCUGCGCGGAAGAUGUAACGGGGCUAAACCAUGCACCGAAGCUGCGGCAGCGACGCUUAUGCGUUGUUGGGUAGGGGAGCGUUCUGUAAGCCUGUGAAGGUGUGCUGUGAGGCAUGCUGGAGGUAUCAGAAGUGCGAAUGCUGACAUAAGUAACGAUAAAGCGGGUGAAAAGCCCGCUCGCCGGAAGACCAAGGGUUCCUGUCCAACGUUAAUCGGGGCAGGGUGAGUCGACCCCUAAGGCGAGGCCGAAAGGCGUAGUCGAUGGGAAACAGGUUAAUAUUCCUGUACUUGGUGUUACUGCGAAGGGGGGACGGAGAAGGCUAUGUUGGCCGGGCGACGGUU
Molecule: ribosomal RNA, 1458 nt
Filed under: Escherichia coli
Lineage: Bacteria; Pseudomonadati; Pseudomonadota; Gammaproteobacteria; Enterobacterales; Enterobacteriaceae
Description: partial 23S ribosomal RNA
Rfam family: Bacterial large subunit ribosomal RNA
Source: RNAcentral